UUUUUAGACCUUCCUGGAGGAGUUUGCUACAUAACCGAUAACCCGCGAAAAACCUCCCCAACUCUUGAAAAUUCAGUAUGUAUACCAUCGUCGUCAGUCUACCUCAUAAGAGAAGUAUACUAAAUGAGUCUUACUCAUUACGCCAGAUCGAGGUGCAGCUUAUGGGUUGGAAACUAGUGAACUACAAUAUCUUCCCGAACCGCUUCGAAAAACAAUUAUGGAUAAUAUUAUGAAACUUAAUACUCAAAAUAGGAUUCAGCAGUAAUACUCAAAAGAAAAUGAGUAUGAAAAAAGCUCUAAAAUGCGC
This 307-nucleotide ribosomal RNA is filed under the name Lithosoma novaezelandiae. RNAcentral describes it as "partial 12S ribosomal RNA". Lineage: Eukaryota; Metazoa; Echinodermata; Asteroidea; Valvatida; Goniasteridae. The record is from RNAcentral.